This 1930-nucleotide ribosomal RNA is filed under the name Keelungia nitschei. Its description in RNAcentral is "partial small subunit ribosomal RNA". It matches the Rfam family "Eukaryotic small subunit ribosomal RNA". Lineage: Eukaryota; Euglenozoa; Stavomonadea; Decastavida; Keelungiidae. The record is from RNAcentral.
UAGUAGGUCUGCGAAUGGCUCAUUAAACCAGCAGGAAUCUACCCCCAUAAGAAAGAGCGAUCUUUCCAUUCGGAUAACUUCGCUAACUGCGUAGCUAAUACGUGUACGAAACAUCUGAGCUUCAUUCCACACAGGGGUAACCAUCCCCCUGUGGAAGCGAGGAUACACAGGACCGAUAUAAAAACCAACCCACGUGAGUGGAGCGUAAUUGUUGACUCAGGUUCUGCAUAGUAAUAGCGCAUUUUGGCGCAAGUGGGGACGACCUUCUGCCCUAUCAGCUUCGAUGGUAAGGUAGUGGCUUACCAUGGCGUUAACGGGUAACGGAGAAUCAGGGUUCGAUUCCGGAGAGGGAGCCUGAGAAACGGCUACCACAGUUAAGACUGGCAGCAGGCGCGCAAAUUACCCAAUGCCAACACUGGUGAGGUAGCAACGAAAAAUAGUAACUUCGCGUCACUCAGUGGCGUGAAGAUUGCAAUGGAUGAUAUUUAAAUCUCUCAAUGAGUAUCGAUUGGAGGGCAAGUCUGGUGCCAGCAGCCGCGGUAAUUCCAGCUCCAAAAGCGUAUACUAAUGCUGUUGCUGUUAAAAAGCUCGUAGUUGGAUUUAGAGUUGAAGGUAUCCAAUGACGGUUCAGGCCUUAGUUCCGGGGUUUCGGCUUCUGUUCUAAGGUUCUGUUCUCGAUUACCCAUUGGAAUUACGCCUUCACUCUUUUUACUCGGAAAAGAUGAGCCGUGGAAGUGUCCUUAAUUGGUCAUUGAAGCGAUUCCGCGUCUAAAACACGCAUACGCUCCGUCCGAGGUGCUACUGUGAACAAAACAGCGUGUCCAAAGCAACCAUCUUCGUAUGGCUGAAUGAUAAAGCAUGGUACAGCAAGGUAUCGACCUAAGGUCUGCCUUUUUGUUGGUUUUCCAAGGCCUUAUGGGCAAUUAUGGGCCAGAAGUCCAUUAUCUUCCCGAUCCUUGCCUUCGGGUUCGGACAGGGUCGAUUUUGGUGCUGGUUUCUUUCGGGAUCAAGAGGAACAGUCGGGGUGGUAGGUAUUGUUACGCUAGUGGUGAAAUACUUAGACCGUAGCAAGACCAACGACAGCGAAGGCAUUCCGCCAGAAUGUUUUCAUUAAUCAAGAACGAGAGUCUGGGGAUCGAAGAUGAUUAGAUACCGUCGUAGUCCAGCACCGUAAACUAUGCCAGCUCGGAAUCGGGCGCUUGGUCUUUAUAUUGCCUCGCCCGGCAUCAAACCUCAUAACGAGAAAUCAAAGCCUAUGGGUUCAGGGGGGAGUACAUUCGCAAGGCUGAAACUUAAAGGAAUUGACGGAAUGACACCACCAGGCGUGGGUUAUGCGGCUUAAUUUGACUCAACACGGGGAAACUUACCAGGUCAGGACAUAGUGAGGAUUGACAGAUUGAGAGCUCUUUCUUGAUUUUGUGGAUGGUGGUGCAUGGCCGUCUCUGGUUCGUGAGGUGACUUGUCUGCUUAAUUGCGAUAACGAACGAGAUCACUGGGUCUAUCUAGCCCUCAGUGUCGUAUAUAGGUACACGGGUGCGAGGGGUUCGCUUCUCAAAACCUGUGGAGACAGCUGAGAUGGUACUCAGGCCGACUGUUCAUGGCUAUAAUGGACGGAAGAAAGUGCCAAUGGCAGGUCUGUGAUGCUCCUAGACGUCCUGGGCUGCACGCGCAACACAAUAAUCCACCUAACGAGUUUACGGCUUCGGCCUCCUGCUUCGAAAGGAUUGGGAAAUCUUGUGAAAGUGGAUUGUGCUUGGGAUAGAUGAUUGCAAUUAUUUGCCUUGAACGAGGAAUGCCUAGUAGAGGUGAUUCAUCAGAUCACCUUGACUAUGUCCCUGCCAUUUGUACACACCGCCCGUCGUUGCUACCGAUUGGAUGAUACAUAGAGAUUUUAGGAGGACGAUUCAUGGUUCGCCGUGUCCUGUCCAAA